This 507-nucleotide ribosomal RNA is filed under the name uncultured Actinotalea sp. RNAcentral's name for it is "bacterial SSU rRNA". It matches the Rfam family "Bacterial small subunit ribosomal RNA", at positions 521 to 1024 of the family's 1533-position model. The record is from RNAcentral. Lineage: Bacteria; Bacillati; Actinomycetota; Actinomycetes; Micrococcales; Cellulomonadaceae.
UAAUACAUAGGGUGCAAGCGUUGUCCGGAAUUAUUGGGCGUAAAGAGCUCGUAGGUCGUUUGUUACGUCGGAUGUGAAAACCUGAGGCUCAACCUCAGGCCUGCAUUCGAUACGGGCAAACUAGAGUUUGGUAGGGGAGACUGGAAUUCCUGGUGUAGCGGUGGAAUGCGCAGAUAUCAGGAGGAACACCAAUGGCGAAGGCAGGUCUCUGGGCCAAUACUGACACUGAGGAGCGAAAGUCUGGGGAGCGAACAGGAUUAGAUACCCUGGUAGUCCAGACCGUAAACGGUGGGCACUAGUUGUGGGAACCUUCCACGGUUUCUGCGACGCAGCUAACGCAUUAAGUGCCCCGCCUGGGGAGUACGAUCGCAAGAUUAAAACUCAAAGGAAUUGACGGGGCCCCGCACAAGCAGCGGAGCAUGCGGCUUAAUUCGACGCAACGCGAAGAACCUUACCAAGGCUUGACAUAUAGGGAAAAGGUGGCAGAGAUGUCAUGUCCGCAAGGGC